This 2894-nucleotide ribosomal RNA is filed under the name Escherichia coli. Its description in RNAcentral is "partial 23S ribosomal RNA". It matches the Rfam family "Bacterial large subunit ribosomal RNA". Lineage: Bacteria; Pseudomonadati; Pseudomonadota; Gammaproteobacteria; Enterobacterales; Enterobacteriaceae. The record is from RNAcentral.
GUUAAGCGACUAAGCGUACACGGUGGAUGCCCUGGCAGUCAGAGGCGAUGAAGGACGUGCUAAUCUGCGAUAAGCGUCGGUAAGGUGAUAUGAACCGUUAUAACCGGCGAUUUCCGAAUGGGGAAACCCAGUGUGAUUCGUCACACUAUCAUUAACUGAAUCCAUAGGUUAAUGAGGCGAACCGGGGGAACUGAAACAUCUAAGUACCCCGAGGAAAAGAAAUCAACCGAGAUUCCCCCAGUAGCGGCGAGCGAACGGGGAGCAGCCCAGAGCCUGAAUCAGUGUGUGUGUUAGUGGAAGCGUCUGGAAAGGCGCGCGAUACAGGGUGACAGCCCCGUACACAAAAAUGCACAUGCUGUGAGCUCGAUGAGUAGGGCGGGACACGUGGUAUCCUGUCUGAAUAUGGGGGGACCAUCCUCCAAGGCUAAAUACUCCUGACUGACCGAUAGUGAACCAGUACCGUGAGGGAAAGGCGAAAAGAACCCCGGCGAGGGGAGUGAAAAAGAACCUGAAACCGUGUACGUACAAGCAGUGGGAGCACGCUUAGGCGUGUGACUGCGUACCUUUUGUAUAAUGGGUCAGCGACUUAUAUUCUGUAGCAAGGUUAACCGAAUAGGGGAGCCGAAGGGAAACCGAGUCUUAACUGGGCGUUAAGUUGCAGGGUAUAGACCCGAAACCCGGUGAUCUAGCCAUGGGCAGGUUGAAGGUUGGGUAACACUAACUGGAGGACCGAACCGACUAAUGUUGAAAAAUUAGCGGAUGACUUGUGGCUGGGGGUGAAAGGCCAAUCAAACCGGGAGAUAGCUGGUUCUCCCCGAAAGCUAUUUAGGUAGCGCCUCGUGAAUUCAUCUCCGGGGGUAGAGCACUGUUUCGGCAAGGGGGUCAUCCCGACUUACCAACCCGAUGCAAACUGCGAAUACCGGAGAAUGUUAUCACGGGAGACACACGGCGGGUGCUAACGUCCGUCGUGAAGAGGGAAACAACCCAGACCGCCAGCUAAGGUCCCAAAGUCAUGGUUAAGUGGGAAACGAUGUGGGAAGGCCCAGACAGCCAGGAUGUUGGCUUAGAAGCAGCCAUCAUUUAAAGAAAGCGUAAUAGCUCACUGGUCGAGUCGGCCUGCGCGGAAGAUGUAACGGGGCUAAACCAUGCACCGAAGCUGCGGCAGCGACGCUGAUGCGUUGUUGGGUAGGGGAGCGUUCUGUAAGCCUGUGAAGGUGUGCUGUGAGGCAUGCUGGAGGUAUCAGAAGUGCGAAUGCUGACAUAAGUAACGAUAAAGCGGGUGAAAAGCCCGCUCGCCGGAAGACCAAGGGUUCCUGUCCAACGUUAAUCGGGGCAGGGUGAGUCGACCCCUAAGGCGAGGCCGAAAGGCGUAGUCGAUGGGAAACAGGUUAAUAUUCCUGUACUUGGUGUUACUGCGAAGGGGGGACGGAGAAGGCUAUGUUGGCCGGGCGACGGUUGUCCCGGUUUAAGCGUGUAGGCUGGUUUUCCAGGCAAAUCCGGAAAAUCAAGGCUGAGGCGUGAUGACGAGGCACUACGGUGCUGAAGCAACAAAUGCCCUGCUUCCAGGAAAAGCCUCUAAGCAUCAGGUAACAUCAAAUCGUACCCCAAACCGACACAGGUGGUCAGGUAGAGAAUACCAAGGCGCUUGAGAGAACUCGGGUGAAGGAACUAGGCAAAAUGGUGCCGUAACUUCGGGAGAAGGCACGCUGAUAUGUAGGUGAAGUCCCUCGCGGAUGGAGCUGAAAUCAGUCGAAGAUACCAGCUGGCUGCAACUGUUUAUUAAAAACACAGCACUGUGCAAACACGAAAGUGGACGUAUACGGUGUGACGCCUGCCCGGUGCCGGAAGGUUAAUUGAUGGGGUCAGCGCAAGCGAAGCUCUUGAUCGAAGCCCCGGUAAACGGCGGCCGUAACUAUAACGGUCCUAAGGUAGCGAAAUUCCUUGUCGGGUAAGUUCCGACCUGCACGAAUGGCGUAAUGAUGGCCAGGCUGUCUCCACCCGAGACUCAGUGAAAUUGAACUCGCUGUGAAGAUGCAGUGUACCCGCGGCAAGACGGAAAGACCCCGUGAACCUUUACUAUAGCUUGACACUGAACAUUGAGCCUUGAUGUGUAGGAUAGGUGGGAGGCUUUGAAGUGUGGACGCCAGUCUGCAUGGAGCCGGCCUUGAAAUACCACCCUUUAAUGUUUGAUGUUCUAACGUUGACCCGUAAUCCGGGUUGCGGACAGUGUCUGGUGGGUAGUUUGACUGGGGCGGUCUCCUCCUAAAGAGUAACGGAGGAGCACGAAGGUUGGCUAAUCCUGGUCGGACAUCAGGAGGUUAGUGCAAUGGCAUAAGCCAGCUUGACUGCGAGCGUGACGGCGCGAGCAGGUGCGAAAGCAGGUCAUAGUGAUCCGGUGGUUCUGAAUGGAAGGGCCAUCGCUCAACGGAUAAAAGGUACUCCGGGGAUAACAGGCUGAUACCGCCCAAGAGUUCAUAUCGACGGCGGUGUUUGGCACCUCGAUGUCGGCUCAUCACAUCCUGGGGCUGAAGUAGGUCCCAAGGGUAUGGCUGUUCGCCAUUUAAAGUGGUACGCGAGCUGGGUUUAGAACGUCGUGAGACAGUUCGGUCCCUAUCUGCCGUGGGCGCUGGAGAACUGAGGGGGGCUGCUCCUAGUACGAGAGGACCGGAGUGGACGCAUCACUGGUGUUCGGGUUGUCAUGCCAAUGGCACUGCCCGGUAGCUAAAUGCGGAAGAGAUAAGUGCUGAAAGCAUCUAAGCACGAAACUUGCCCCGAGAUGAGUUCUCCCUGACUCCUUGAGAGUCCUGAAGGAACGUUGAAGACGACGACGUUGAUAGGCCGGGUGUGUAAGCGCAGCGAUGCGUUGAGCUAACCGGUACUAAUGAACCGUGAGG